AGAGUUUGAUCCUGGCUCAGGAUGAACGCUGGCGGCGUGCUUAACACAUGCAAGUCGAACGAUUAACCCGCCCUCGGGCGGUUAUAGAGUGGCGAACGGGUGAGUAACACGUGACCAACCUGCCCCCUUCACCGGGAUAACCCAGGGAAACCUGCGCUAAUACCGGAUACUCCGGGACCCCCGCAUGGGGCUCCAGGGAAAGCCCAGGCGGAAGGGGAUGGGGUCGCGGCCCAUUAGGUAGACGGCGGGGUAACGGCCCACCGUGCCCGCGAUGGGUAGCCGGGUUGAGAGACCGAUCGGCCACAUUGGGACUGAGAUACGGCCCAGACUCCUACGGGAGGCAGCAGUGGGGAAUUUUGCGCAAUGGGGGAAACCCUGACGCAGCAACGCCGCGUGCGGGACGACAGCCUUCGGGUUGUAAACCGCUUUCAGCAGGGAAUAAUUUUGAAGGUACCUGCAGAAGAAGCUCCGGCUAACUACGUGCCAGCAGCCGCGGUAAUACGUAGGGAGCGAGCGUUAUCCGGAAUCAUUGGGCGUAAAGCGCGCGUAGGCGGCCCGUCAAGCGGGGUUUCAAAUCCAGGGGCUCAACCUCUGACCGGACCCCGAACUGGCGGGCUCGAGUGCGGUAGAGGAAGGUGGAAUUCCCAGUGUAGCGGUGAAAUGCGCAGAUAUUGGGAAGAACACCGAUGGCGAAGGCAGCCUUCUGGGCCGCCACUGACGCUGAGGCGCGAAAGCUAGGGGAGCAAACAGGAUUAGACACCCUGGUAGUCCACGCGGUAAACGAUGAAUGCUAGGUGUCGGGUGACGAAGUCAUUCGGUGCCGCCGCAAACGCAUUAAGCAUUCCACCUGGGGAGUACGUUCGCAAGAAUGAAACUCAAAGGAAUUGACGGGGACCCGCACAAGCGGUGGAGCAUGUGGUUUAAUUCGAAGCAACGCGAAGAACCUUACCAAGUCUUGACAUCCCUCUGACCGGAACUUAACCGUUCCUUCCCUUCGGGGCAGAGGAGACAGGUGGUGCAUGGUUGUCGUCAGCUCGUGUAGUGAGAUGUUGGGUUAAGUCCCGCAACGAGCGCAACCCCUAUCCCCAGUAGCCAGCAUUUAAGGUGGGCACUCUGAGGAGACUGCCAGGGAUAACCUGGAGGAAGGCGGGGAUGACGUCAAAUCAUCAUGCCCCUUAUGAUUUGGGCUACACACGUGCUACAAUGGCGUAAACAAAGGGAAGCGAACCCGCGAGGGUGGGCAAAUCCCAAAAAUAACGUCCCAGUUCGGACUGUAGUCUGCAACCCGACUACACGAAGCUGGAAUCGCUAGUAAUCGCGGAUCAGAAUGCCGCGGUGAAUACGUUCCCGGGUCUUGUACACACCGCCCGUCACACCAUGGGAGUCAGUAACGCCCGAAGUCAGUGACCUAACCGUAAGGAGGGAGCUGCCGAAGGCGGGACCGAUGACUGGGGUGAAGUCGUAACAAGGUA
This 1472-nucleotide ribosomal RNA is filed under the name metagenome. RNAcentral describes it as "bacterial SSU rRNA". It matches the Rfam family "Bacterial small subunit ribosomal RNA". The record is from RNAcentral.